RNAcentral lists this long non-coding RNA (4221 nucleotides) under Sus scrofa (pig). RNAcentral's name for it is "lncRNA (ENSSSCG00000053234.1)". The record is from RNAcentral. Lineage: Eukaryota; Metazoa; Chordata; Mammalia; Artiodactyla; Suidae.
UAUUAAUACCAAAUGCAAAUAAUAGGGGAAGUAGUAGAAGGAAGGAUUAAAGAGUGAGUGGGAACUCUGCACUUUCUGCUCAAUUUUUCCAUAAACCUAAAAUUACUCUAAAAAAAUCAAAAUCUGUCCCUCCUUUUCAUCAUCAACACAUUCACAAAACAGGACUUGCUGAGGAAGUAAGGAUAAGCAUAACAACAGAACUUAGAUUGACAGAAAAAGUGAUCAAACUAGAACAAGGGAAACAUGAAAAGAGAGGGAGAUGAGGCAUCAAUGAGAGGACAGUGAGGACAGGACAUUUAUGGAGUUCCCAUUGCAGCUCAGCAGUUAAACCUAACUAGUAUCCAUGAGGACGUGGAUUCGAUCCCUGGCCUCACUCUGUGGGUUAAGGAUCCAGCGUUUCAGUAAGCUGUGAUAUAGGUCACAGAUACAGCUUGGAUCCCAUGUUGCUGUGGCUUUGGUGUAGGCUAGCAGCUGUAGCUUCGAUUCCACCCCUAGACUGGGAACCUCCAUAUGCUGUGGGCGCAUCCCUAAAAGGACAAAAGACAAAAAAAAAAAAAAAAAAGACAUAUUUGUGCUUAGGCAGAAAAGAAGAUUUAGAGCAAGAUGUUCAUGGCUGCCAUCUCAUCCUAGCUGUUUACAGCCUGCUCAUUUGUAAGUGGAAAACACAGGGUGGUACAAGAUUUCCAAGAUCACUACAUUUCUCAUGAUCGCUUCAACUCUAAUCACUUAAGCUCUACCCCUACAGCCGAAACCACAUGCCAAAACAAUUUUACCAAAGCAGUAUUUAAAUAAUAUCAUUUAAUUAUUUGUUGUUGUAAGCAUUUUCACUUGUUUAUGUAUUGUAAAAAUGCCUAUUUUAAAAAUAAGGAACUAUCGCUCACAGAGGCAAAUAAUGCCUUAAGUUAUGCCAUGAGUUCAGAGCUUGAAUUUGAACCCUAGCGACUUAACCCCAGAAACCACAACCUUAUCCAACACACAAGUCUGCCUCCUGGACUCCCAAUAUCCACAUGUUACCAACAGUCAUAAUGGAGCUUCUGGAAAAGAUUCCUGCUUAGCAAUUUAAUUCCUACUUUAUAUAGAGACCCCCUAAUAGCCCCAAGAUUAACCUCAACAACCUCUCUCUAGAUCCCCUUGUAUAAAACUAAUCAUGUUGGUCCUGUCCUUAAAAGACCAUUUGCCUAGAUCCACAGCAAGGAAGCCUGUGUUACCUCUUGUAUUUGAAUUAUGACCUUGAAGUAAUCAGAGCCUCUGAGUCAGCAACAUGUGCUUAAAACAAGUUUAAUUUAGAAUCUACAAACAAUCCUCCUUAGAAAACAUUUCAAUAGAUGGUCCCAACACUCCCUCCCACCCUACUAGACCUAUAUCAGAUGUUUCAGCAUUUCUUACAGCCAUCACCAUGCUGGUUAUUGUACAUGAAUGUGGAUACCUUAUGAUAUAUUAUAAGAUACAACAGCCAUGGAUCAAGGACCAUCACUUCUACAAUCUAUAAUUUUCUAUGCAAUAAAAUUGCAUAACAAAAAUUAUCUAAGCAACAUGGAGGAGCUCCUACUGAGGCCCUAAAUGACAGAGAAACUUUAUGGAAAACAAGAAAGGAGUGUUUACUUCUUAGAAUUAACUAGUCUAAGAAUAAAGUAAACUUUCUUCACUCUUGACUCAGACACAUAUACAACAUGUUGGUUCCAUGAGUUAUUCAAAGCCCUAGGCUCUGAAUGACUUGUGUGGUCUGAUCUUUGUUUUCAGUUCUGUGGUUUUCUGUUUGGUUAGUUUUAAACCUUUAUCAAUAGAUUUUUAUAGUUUUUUUUUAAAUAAUUCCUUUCAUUUUUUAAGAGAUCAGAGUGCAUGGAAGAUACAGGAUUUUUCCCUGAUGUAGGUCAGCAAAAAUAUUGCUUAAAAAGAUCUUAAGACUUUUAUAGAAUAUAUGUGUGUGUGUUUGAUGAAAAAAGUUUUUCAGCAAAAGGGCUUAAAUCAAAAAUAUCAUGAAUUCUCAAAAGCAUAUAAAGUUAUGGUUAUACUGCUACAGUCUCAGUGUGUCAAAAGAACCUGAGCGAAAAAAAAAAAAAAGUUAUCUAAAAGUUCUUACAAAAGGAGCUCAAUUAAUGGUACCUACUUUUAAAUCAGGAAUCUAAGACCUGGAGUUUGGGUUAUUUUCAAUGGUUCCAACCAAAAAGACAGUUUCAUAACAUUGGAGACUCAUAGGAAUAAGCAGUAUUACUCCCUAGGUACACUGAUAAUAUUCAGUGAUGAUAUUAAUCUAACCAUUUUGAAUGUGCACUGAUCCACUUCAAUGUGCUAGCAUCCCAUGGGUUCCUGACCAGCAGAGUCUGCAGAAUAUUAGUUCAAAGACAAUAUAGGAACAAAAUUAUGUCCAGUAAACUGGUGCCUACAUACAAUCAGAAAUAUAGUCCUGAUUUAAUGGAAUAACCAGAAUAAACAGCAUCUGCAAUUUUAGCAAAUCACUUUACCUAGUGUAAAAUUUCUUUCCUGAAUAAAUUCUAAACAGGAACAAACAACUUCAGUGUUCAGAGAGUCAAAUUCCAAUGCAGGGCAGGGGCGGGGGUUUCCCCCACAGGAACAAUCAUUUCUCAAAAACCAGCAGGGUGUCAAUUCUGACAUUAUCUACCCAGAGAGAGCACUGUAUUUCACAGGUUUAAGGCUCAGACUUAGGACACCCCCACUCACCAUCACCACUUUAGACCCAAGAUGCUAGUCUAGGCUGUUAACCUGUGCUUCAAACUGAUGGGCCAUAGUAUGGAGGUUGCAGGGACCCCUUCCUAUUGAAACAGAGAAGGGUCUUAUGGGGCUCCUGAGCAGAAGCCUCAUUUCUUGAUUUUAGGGAAUAAAGUUCAGCCUCCAUUCCCUUCACUGAGUUCAAAAGGCCAGAUUCAAACAGUUGUUAAUCAGGGAAAGGAGGGGAUGCAAGACAAGGGAGGAGUAGUCAACAGACAAUAGAGAAGCCUUUGGGCAGGGUCCUGGUUCCUCUUCAAGGAAUACACAUAAGACUACCUUUGAGUUCUUCUGUAGACAUAAAUCCCCCAACAAAUGAAAACCAGAGAGGAAGACCACCAGAACCGGUCCUAGGGCUGCUAAAUACCAAAUCUAAGAACAAUAAAAGCUUGUAUGUAUCCUGAUCCUUAUCUGUGGCCCUACUUUCUACUCCUAAACUAUAAUACCACUUCCUAAUCUCUCCCAAAGAAGAGCAUAGUCUUUAGGGCAUUAGCCUGUUGUGGCCUCCUUUGCCUGGCAAAGCAAUAAAGCUACAUUUUUCUCCUUUGCCCAAAACCCUGUCUCUGAGUUUCUAUUCAGCACCAGUGUGUUGGGCUUCAAGGCUCCUUCAAGGAGACAGAACUCAAAGCCUUUGGCCAAGAAUUAUCAGACCCUUAUCACCAGUCUCACUGUAAUGCCCCUUCUCCCACAUUGACCAACCUGGCCUACUCCUUCCUAUCUAGUACUAGGAUGGGUAUGUGACCCGCCCCUCAUCCUGCCCCUUUAGGGUUCUUAUAAGAUCCCAACCAUCCAGAAAGUGUUUUUUUUUUUUCCAGGACUGCACCUGUGGCAUAUGGAAGUUCCCAGGCUAGUGGUCAAAUCUGAGCUGCAACCGCCAGUCUAUGCCACAGCCACAGCUAAGGGAUCUAAGCCAUGUCUCUGACCUACACCACAGCUCAUGGCAACACCAGAUCCUUAACCCACUGAGUGAAGCCAGGGGUUGGACCUGAAUCCUCAUGGAUUUGUUACCAUUACCACUGAGCCACAAAGGGAACUCCAGCAUCUCUCAUCUUAAACUCUUCUUCCUCUUUGGGGUCAGCUCUCCCUGAAUAUCAGGAAGUUAUCCUGCUGUGCUUGCAGCACCUCUUAUCUCAAUAAACUGUACUUUCUCUCCACUUUGCCAUGCUCAAUAAACUUCUUUCUUUUCACCCAGAUAUGAGUCUGGAAAUUCUUUUCUGACCCAUGUGCACAGACCACGACACAGUGGACAGAGGCCAAGUUUUGGCAACACUACUAGGAUGCCAAUUACAAAUCUAUGUUGUUAUCUGUACUUCUGAACUAGUGGCUAUCAAUUAGAGAUUCUCAAAACCUUCUCUUUGAGUUUCAUUAAUUUACUAUAGCAGCUCACAGAACUCAGAACAACAUUUUACUAGCUAGAUUACCAGUUUAUAACAAAGGGUAGAACUCAGGAAGAGCUGGGUGGCAUAAAUGAACGUAUCUAUGAAAUAGAAACAGACU